This 301-nucleotide ribosomal RNA is filed under the name uncultured bacterium. RNAcentral's name for it is "partial 16S ribosomal RNA". It matches the Rfam family "Bacterial small subunit ribosomal RNA", at positions 509 to 809 of the family's 1533-position model. The record is from RNAcentral.
CAGUCGCCACGGUAAUACGAAGGGUGCAAGCGUUAAUCGGAAUUACUGGGCGUAAGGCGUGCGUAGGCGGUGAGUUAAGUCUGCUGUGAAAUCCCCGAGCUUAACUUGGGAACUGCAUUUGAAACUGGCAAGCUAGAGUCUUGUAGAGGGGGGUAGAAUUCCAGGUGUAGCGGUGAAAUGCGUAGAGAUCUGGAGGAAUACCGGUGGCGAAGGCGGCCCCCUGGACAAAGACUGACGCUCAGGCGCGAAAGCGUGGGGAGCAAACAGGAUUAGAUACCCCUGUAGUCCCUGUCUCUUAUAA